This is a long non-coding RNA of Bufo bufo (common toad), 161 nucleotides long. RefSeq lists it as uncharacterized. The transcript has 5 exons. NCBI's taxonomy places the organism in Eukaryota, Metazoa, Chordata, Amphibia, Anura, Bufonidae. The record is from RefSeq and is a predicted model, not a curated record.
GGAAAGAAGGUUUGUACACAAACAUAGAAGAGGAUUCUUUACGGUAAGAGCAGUGAGACUAUGGAGCUCUCUGCCCGAGGAGGUGGUGAUGGUGAGUUCGCUAAAAGAGUUCAGAAGGGGACUGGAUUUAUUUCUGGAGUGUAAUAAUAGUACAGGGUAUA